UUGGCUACAAGGAAGACAAGGGUGAUGAGUGAUUCAGCAUUUAUUGAACCCUCAUUCUCCUGUCAACUCCCAUCUUCAGCCCCCAGAAGUCCCUGAAAGUAUACAGCAGCACAGCCCAUACCCUCAUGGGUCUUGGAGAGGCAUGCAGUCGCUCUAGUUUGUGUCUGGGAAGAGUUGCAGCCUGGACUGUGGAGUGCAAAGACCCUGCCUCUGACCACCUUCCAGACGAGGCUAGGGAGACUUCCCAGGUCGGGGGAAUUUGCCACUAGCUGAAAUAAAGUACAGGUGCUACCACAGGUCACAUGAAAACCAAAGGAGCCACAGAGACAGGAGGCUCAUGGCCCCCAGUGUUCCUGCAAACACACCUAAGUCGUGUGGGACUAGGAACUUGGACAUGGCCAGAGAGGGGUGAUGUGGUCACCCCCAAACUUCUCAGGCACUUGGGUUGGACAGGCAUGGCUUGGGAGAGAGCCCCUAAAUGAAUAAGCACUGCAGAGAAGCUAAGAAACGUCAGCUGUCCACACAGCAGUGAGUAUCCAUCCUUGUAUAGUUUGUGCCUUUUUGUAUUUUGUAUUCUAGAAAAGGAGCAAACGGCGCAUGCGGAAGUUAGCCAAGCCUGGGAAGGACCAAAAAGGGGGAAAAAAAUUAGAACGGUAACAAGUUUAGAUUUUUGGUACCUGAAGACUAAGGGUGGGGCAAGAUGAAACCACUGGGACUGUCCUACAGGAGGGCCAAUCAGCUGCAUCCAUGAACAGAGGGCCAUCCCAAACCCAGAAUGAUGGAUCGAUACAUUCCAAGAUAGAUAGACCAGAUGGAGCCAGGUCUGCUCUGUCCUCUGGCUCCCUGGACAAGAACAGGCAUCCCACUGCCCUGCAGAUGGAAGGUCAGCCAGGCAGGAACAGCACUGAUGCGCAAUGCACCGAUACGCAGCAGCUCCCACACCCUGUGAGCAGUCAGUGGCCUCGACUUGCCCUGCCCAGGAAUGGCCUGUGGAGAGUAUCUCCCAGGACCAUAGCAAGGACUAUGGUGUUCACAGGAACUGGCAGGGCCAUGUGAACUGCAAUGAUGGCUGUAUAACAUGUGACUGUCACUAAUGCCUCCGGCCUGCACUCCUACAAGGGACAGGGGAGCAGUCCAGCUGCCUAGUGUACACAAUGCCUUGGACUAAUCCCCAGCUCUGAGGAGCAGAGUGUGCUGACACACACCUGUAAUCCCAGCAUGUGGGGGUGGGGGUGGAAGGAUCAGAAGUCUGAGAUAUUUCUUGGUUACAUAGUGAGUUUGAGGCAGCCUGAGCUGCAUAAGAUUGUGUGUGUGUGUGUGUGUGUGUGUGUGUGUGUGUGUGUGUGUGAAUAAAUAAGCAAGCAAAUAGAAGAGAUAGAUAGAUAGAUAGAUAGAUAGAUAGAUAGAUAGAUAGAUAGAUAGAUAAACAGAUAAACUGUAUAUAUUUUUAUCACAAGAAAAAUAGAAAAUAGUCUGGCCAGGCAGUGGCGGCACACUCCUUUAAACCAGCACUUGGGAGGCAGACGCAGGAUCACUGAGUUCGAGGCCAGCCUGGUCUACAGAGUGAGUUUCAGGACAGCCAGGGCUACACAGGGAAACCCUUUCUCCAAAAACAAAACAAGCUUGCAGAAACCUCUUAUCUCCCAAACACUUCAUCUGAGCAAUGGGCGGGAUCCUAAGACAAAGCCCUAUUAGCUGCCUAAGAGAUUUCAGGGCCAAGCAGAGGCAGCUGCCAGAGUCUGCUUGGAGAGGCUCCUGAUGGCACAGGGUGAUGGGCAUGGGCAUGAACUAGCAGUUUCCUUUUGGACUUUGCCCACAGUUGCUUAAUGGCCCUCAGGUAUCUGAAGAGCCUAGGCUCUAGGAAACCAAGCUGCCCCCAAGCUGACUACAUUGCCUGUUUUCAUAUGGCACCAGUCAUGAGCAGAACAGUACUUCCCCCUAAGGUCCUCAUGUGCUGACCCCACAGCCUGUGGCCACCUUAGGUGAAAGGUCAAGAAAAAGAGACGUAUGCAUCAUUAAAGUCAUCACAAGAUCCCCCAGGCAUGCAAGAGCAAAACUGGGGGCCACUGGGUCAAAUGGAGCAUGAGGGGUGAGGCCACCUGUCUUGGGACACAGAGGAAGUCCCGUGAAGAAGGUGGGUGACUCCAGAAGCCAGAGACCAGGGGAUCUGCUCCUCCAUGGGGCUUUCAGGAUUGCUGCUCUGUUGAUGAGGGUUUCAGCCCAGUAAGGCGGGGCCAGGACAAUAAAGUCCAGGGCAAACAUUACUGUGAAGUGACAGACACCCACAACUGAUGACUCCAUUCUCAGCCUCCUCCUCCUCCUCCCAGCCUUGGGACAGAGGCCAGCCAAACUCAACCUGGCCUCUGAGGGCCCUGCUGCUCCUCAAUCCUGGUAGGAUGGACAAGCCAGCAGGGUACCACUGGGCACACGGGAUGGACCACACUCUGUGAGCCACACUCCGGCCUUCACUCUGGGGACUGAUGUACCUGCUGCUACUUGGGGAAUUGGUUUGGGGAACAGAUGAAGGUCCAGGAUCAGGACACCACCACGGAGUGCCUCAGUAUUGCAGGAAAAGGGACGCUGCUCAUGGGGGACACAGGACCAUGGGGGAAGGCAGCAGAGGACAUCUGCAGGAAGUCUCUGUCCCCACCAGGAAAAUCACAUGCAAAGUGUCUGAGUCUGUGCACGCCAGCAGCUUCCGGGUCCCCUAUAGUGGCCUCUGUGUACCUGCCUCACGCCCUCAGCCUCCCUCAGGUGGCAGCCAGCCUCUUCCCUCCUGCCCAGGAACCCACUACCUCUAGCUAAAGGCUUCCAUAAGGUAGCUUCCCUUGCUUCCCCUCGGAAGGGAGCCAAGCAUUGGCACAAGAGGGCAGAUCUAGCCACACCUGUGUCAAGUGAGCAGCCUCAGUGAGCCCAGGCACUGGCUUAGAUACAGGCCAGCACAUGUGGCACACAUUUAAGGACACAGCCUAGUGGCAGUGACUUAGCUGGAGGUGUUCAGACCAAGGGGUGCUUGCUUAAUGACUUUGUUCUCCUCUGCCCAGACCACUGCAAGAAGUCCUGUGCACUUCCUCCUAUCCCAAAGACUCGACUGUGCCCUUGAGUCCUAGCUGGCCCUUCUUAGCCUCAAGUCCUCCACCGGGCCUGCCAUAGAGGAGACAUGUACCACAUGGAAGGAAGACUGUAUAUCCCCUCCUCAGCCUACCCUCAUUCCUCAAGCUGCUUCUUGCACCCCACAUUACUGCCAAGCAUCGUCAGACUCAAGCUGGCACCUCUCUUUAGGCUGCUCCCUCAUGCUCCACUUCUGAUGUGUCUGCGCUGACAGCCCCAAGAGCUAGGAACACAUGCAGGCAGCGUCUUCCUUGAGGGUGUGUGGCCACUAGAUCCCAGGAGGCCUGGCUGCCCCAGAUUUGCCACCUACAGAAAACUUUGUCAUCAGGGACAUUGUCAAGAGCUGGACAAGAAACCACCAGAGAGGGACUGCCAGCUGCAGGCCACUCUGCCACUCACCCCUUCUUGUCACAUGGAGAUGGAGAUCCCUCCCUCUCUUUGGGCUGCUGUAUCGUCCCUCCAGUGAGGCCGCUCAUCACUUCUAUCUGGAACCCCAUGCUCACCCCUCCCAACCUCCCAUGAACCCCGUCUGGGAUAGGUUCUCCUACUUCUUUCCCAGGAAGGCUAAUUAAUGCAUAGGAUUAGUCUGGCUACAGGACAGCAAGUUUGCCUCCUGUGUCACAGGAGCCUCCAGCAGUCAGGCCUGUCUGGCUCCCUCUACCGAACUGCCUAGUGAUAAAGGUGCCACCCAGCAUCUGUAGGCCAAAGUGCUCAAAUGAGCGCCAUCCCACCAGCCCUUCCCCGCCACAGCUGAGGGUGGGACUUCAGACCAGCCUGUCCUCAUCCAGGCACCCAAAGCCUUCCUAGACGGCUUCCUCUCAGCUCCGCAACAGACUGUGAGAGUGUCUCCCACUGUUUUGAUCUUUCCCAACCCAAUUCUGAGCCACAGACAAGCCUAGCUCUGCCCCAGCAUAUGGGAGGCCCUUGGGAGAUUCGGCACAGCACAAACAAACCAGUGGUCCAAAGAGCCUCCUGAGUCUCUUGGCUGCCUUGCCUCCUCACCCGCCAUUGUUAGACUUGCUUAAGCUUUAUCCUGGUGGUGGAUACAGAUCCGGGUCUCUGAGGAUCUCCAGCUGAUGAGACGGGGAUGGGUCCAUCUUAGACUUAGGAACUCAUAAGGGGCACAUAGUGUGUCCUGGCUAAGUCGUUGUGAGAGGGCCAAAUGGUGUGCUGGACACUUCAACUGAAACUUACGCACUGAAGAUGUCAGGAUAGAGGGGGUGGGAAUGGCCUCAGGCCCUAAAAAGUGUUUGGGGUGAUGGAAGUAUUCUCAAAACUGGGUCAUGAUGAAGAGCAUUGGAGUGUGUCCUUAAAAGCAAGGAUAUGCAUGACAUGUUAGUAUACCACCAUAAGACUGUUAAAAACAAAAGAGGGAACAUGACAUUAAGACAAACUCA
Mus musculus (house mouse) is the source of this 4508-nucleotide long non-coding RNA. RefSeq annotates it as predicted gene, 33467. The record is from RefSeq and is a predicted model, not a curated record. The transcript is spliced from 3 exons. NCBI's taxonomy places the organism in Eukaryota, Metazoa, Chordata, Mammalia, Rodentia, Muridae.